GUGCACCAGGCGAGAAACUUUACAAUGUGCGAAAGCACGAUAAGGGAACUCUGAGUGCCUCCUAAGGAGGCUGCUCAGGUGUACUAAAAGCACCUGGAGUAAGGGCUGGGUAAGACCGGUGCCAGCCGCCGCGGUAACACCGGCAGCCCAGGUGGUAGCCACUUUUAUUGGGUCUAAAGCGUCCGUAGCCGGUUGAGUAAGUUCCUUGGGAAAUUUGGCUGCUCAACAGUCAAGCUUCCAGGGAAUACUGCUCGACUUGGGACUGGGAGAGGUCAGAGGUACUCCGAGGGGUAGGGGUGAAAUCCAUUAAUCCCGUGGGGGACCACCGGUAGCGAAGGCGUCUGACCAGACCAGGUCCGACGGUGAGGGACGAAGGCUAGGGUCGCGAACCGGAUUAGAUACCCGGGUAGU
This 411-nucleotide ribosomal RNA is filed under the name uncultured microorganism. RNAcentral's name for it is "bacterial SSU rRNA". It matches the Rfam family "Archaeal small subunit ribosomal RNA", at positions 330 to 745 of the family's 1478-position model. The record is from RNAcentral.